RNAcentral lists this ribosomal RNA (485 nucleotides) under uncultured bacterium. RNAcentral's name for it is "bacterial SSU rRNA". It matches the Rfam family "Bacterial small subunit ribosomal RNA", at positions 28 to 513 of the family's 1533-position model. The record is from RNAcentral.
GAUGAACGCUAGCGGCAGGCUUAAUACAUGCAAGUCGUGGGGCAGCAUGAGUAGCAAUACUUGAUGGCGACCGGCAAACGGGUGAGGAACACGUACACAACCUUCCUUCAAGCGGGGAAUAGCCCAGAGAAAUUUGGAUUAAUACCCCAUAAUAUAUUUGAUAAGGCAUCUUAUUAAUAUUAAAGCUUCGGCACUUGAUGAUGGGUGUGCGGCUGAUUAGAUAGUUGGCGGGUAACGGCCCACCAAGUCUACGAUCAGUAGCUGAUGUGAGAGCAUGAUCAGCCACACGGGCACUGAGACACGGGCCCGACUCCUACGGGAGGCAGCAGUAAGGAAUAUUGGACAAUGGACGAAAGUCUGAUCCAGCCAUGCCGCGUGAAGGAUUAAGGUCCUCUGGAUUGUAAACUUCUUUAUAUGGACGAAAAGGCAUUCUUGUUCACUUGACGGUACCAUAUGAAUAAGCACCGGCUAACUCCGUGCCAGCA